GAUGAACGCUGGCGGCGUGCCUAAUACAUGCAAGUCGAGCGAACGGACGAGAAGCUUGCUUCUCUGAUGUUAGCGGCGGACGGGUGAGUAACACGUGGAUAACCUACCUAUAAGACUGGGAUAACUUCGGGAAACCGGAGCUAAUACCGGAUAAUAUUUUGAACCGCAUGGUUCAAAAGUGAAAGACGGUCUUGCUGUCACUUAUAGAUGGAUCCGCGCUGCAUUAGCUAGUUGGUAAGGUAACGGCUUACCAAGGCAACGAUGCAUAGCCGACCUGAGAGGGUGAGAGGGCACACUGGAACUGAGACACGGUCCAGACUCCUACGGGAGGCAGCAGUAGGGAAUCUUCCGCAAUGGGCGAAAGCCUGACGGAGCAACGCCGCGUGAGUGAUGAAGGUCUUCGGAUCGUAAAACUCUGUUAUUAGGGAAGAACAUAUGUGUAAGUAACUGUGCACAUCUUGACGGUACCUAAUCAGAAAGCCACGGCUAACUACGUG
This 497-nucleotide ribosomal RNA is filed under the name uncultured bacterium. RNAcentral's name for it is "partial 16S ribosomal RNA". It matches the Rfam family "Bacterial small subunit ribosomal RNA", at positions 28 to 507 of the family's 1533-position model. The record is from RNAcentral.